RNAcentral lists this ribosomal RNA (326 nucleotides) under uncultured bacterium. RNAcentral's name for it is "bacterial SSU rRNA". It matches the Rfam family "Bacterial small subunit ribosomal RNA", at positions 28 to 334 of the family's 1533-position model. The record is from RNAcentral.
GAUGAACGCUGGCGGCGUGCUUAACACAUGCAAGUCGAACGAAGCGCUUAAACGGAUUUCUUCGGAAUGAAGUUUUUGCGACUGAGUGGCGGACGGGUGAGUAACGCGUGGGUAACCUGCCUCAUACAGGGGGAUAACAGUUAGAAAUGACUGCUAAUACCGCAUAAGCGCACAGUGCUGCAUGGCACAGUGUGAAAAACUCCGGUGGUAAUGAGAUGGCCUCGCGUCCGAUUAGCUAGUUGGUGAGGUAACGGCCCACCAAGGCGACGAUCGGGUAGCCGGACUGAGAGGUUGAACGGCCACAUUGGGACUGAGACACGGCCCAG